RNAcentral lists this ribosomal RNA (1089 nucleotides) under Microbacterium esteraromaticum. Its description in RNAcentral is "bacterial SSU rRNA". It matches the Rfam family "Bacterial small subunit ribosomal RNA", at positions 61 to 1160 of the family's 1533-position model. Lineage: Bacteria; Bacillati; Actinomycetota; Actinomycetes; Micrococcales; Microbacteriaceae. The record is from RNAcentral.
GUCGAACGAUGAAGCCCAGCUUGCUGGGUGGAUUAGUGGCGAACGGGUGAGUAACACGUGAGCAACCUGCCCCUGACUCUGGGAUAAGCGCUGGAAACGGCGUCUAAUACUGGAUAUGUCCCGUCACCGCAUGGUGUGCGGGUGGAAAGAUUUUUCGGUUGGGGAUGGGCUCGCGGCCUAUCAGCUUGUUGGUGAGGUAAUGGCUCACCAAGGCGUCGACGGGUAGCCGGCCUGAGAGGGUGACCGGCCACACUGGGACUGAGACACGGCCCAGACUCCUACGGGAGGCAGCAGUGGGGAAUAUUGCACAAUGGGCGGAAGCCUGAUGCAGCAACGCCGCGUGAGGGAUGACGGCCUUCGGGUUGUAAACCUCUUUUAGCAGGGAAGAAGCGAAAGUGACGGUACCUGCAGAAAAAGCACCGGCUAACUACGUGCCAGCAGCCGCGGUAAUACGUAGGGUGCAAGCGUUAUCCGGAAUUAUUGGGCGUAAAGAGCUCGUAGGCGGUCUGUCGCGUCUGCUGUGAAAUUCCGAGGCUCAACCUCGGGCUUGCAGUGGGUACGGGCAGACUAGAGUGCGGUAGGGGAGAUUGGAAUUCCUGGUGUAGCGGUGGAAUGCGCAGAUAUCAGGAGGAACACCGAUGGCGAAGGCAGAUCUCUGGGCCGUAACUGACGCUGAGGAGCGAAAGGGUGGGGAGCAAACAGGCUUAGAUACCCUGGUAGUCCACCCCGUAAACGUUGGGAACUAGUUGUGGGGUCCUUUCCACGGAUUCCGUGACGCAGCUAACGCAUUAAGUUCCCCGCCUGGGGAGUACGGCCGCAAGGCUAAAACUCAAAGGAAUUGACGGGGACCCGCACAAGCGGCGGAGCAUGCGGAUUAAUUCGAUGCAACGCGAAGAACCUUACCAAGGCUUGACAUACACGAGAACGGGCCAGAAAUGGUCAACUCUUUGGACACUCGUGAACAGGUGGUGCAUGGUUGUCGUCAGCUCGUGUCGUGAGAUGUUUGGUGUAAGUCCCGCAACGAGCGCAACCCUCGUUCUAUGUUGCCAGCACGUAAUGGUGGGAACUCAUGGGAUACUGCCGGGGUCA